GCCUAUGGCCAUGCCACCCUGAAUGUGCCCAAUCUCAUCUGAUCUCAGAAGCUAAGCAGGGUCGGGCCUGGUUAGUUCUUGAAUGGGAGACAAUUUAGGAAUAUCAGGUGCUGUAGGGA
Ribosomal RNA from Pteropus vampyrus (large flying fox), 119 nucleotides. The record is from Ensembl. NCBI's taxonomy places the organism in Eukaryota, Metazoa, Chordata, Mammalia, Chiroptera, Pteropodidae.